GGGCCGGUAGAUCAACGGUAGAUCGCCGCUCUAGACUCCGUAAGCUCCGGGUUCAAAUCCCGGCCGGUCCA
This is a transfer RNA of 71 nucleotides. It matches the Rfam family "tRNA". From Rfam's summary of the family: Transfer RNA (tRNA) molecules are approximately 80 nucleotides in length. Their secondary structure includes four short double-helical elements and three loops (D, anti-codon, and T loops).